This 736-nucleotide non-coding RNA is filed under the name Issoria eugenia. The record is from RNAcentral. Lineage: Eukaryota; Metazoa; Arthropoda; Insecta; Lepidoptera; Nymphalidae.
UUUAUUUUACAUAUAAAUUUUAGUAUUAAAUUUUAAUUAUUUUAAUAAUAAUUAAUUAAUUAGUUAUAGUAAUUAAAAUUAAAAAUUUAAGAAAUUAAGAUUUAGUAAUAUAAAAAUUAAUAACUAAUUUUGUGCCAGCAGUUGCGGUUAAACAAAAAUUAAAUUAAAUUAUUUCAGUAUAUAAUAAAUAUAAAUAUGUUUAAAUUAAAUAUUAAAUUAUUAAGUGAAAUUUUAAUUUAAUUAAAUUUUAUACAAUAUUUAUGAUUUAAUAAAUUUUAAUAUAAACUAGGAUUAGAUACCCUAUUAUUAAAAAUUUAAAUUUUAAAUACUAAAAUAGUAAAUAAUUUAUAUUGAAACUUAAAUAAUAUGGCGGUAUUUUAGUUCAUUUAGAGGAAUCUGUCUAGUAAUUGAUAAUCCACGAAUAAAUUUACUUAAUUUAAAAUUUUGUAUAUCAUUGUAAAAAAAAUAUUUUUAAAUAAAAAUAAUAUUUAAGAAUUUUUAUAAUAAAUUAAUUCAGAUCAAGAUGCAGAAUAUAAUUAAGAUUAAGAUGGAUUACAAUAAAUAUAUUUAAAUGAAUAGGAUUUUGUAAUUAUAAUUGAAGGUGGAUUUAAAUGUAAUUUUAAUUAGUUUAUUAAAAUGAUUUAUAAUUGAAAUAUGUACAUAUUGCCCGUCACUUUCAUUUAAAAAUUGAAAUAAGUCGUAACAAAGUAGAGGUACUGGAAAGUGUUUCUAGAAU